RNAcentral lists this long non-coding RNA (761 nucleotides) under Nicotiana benthamiana. RNAcentral describes it as "long non-coding RNA (NBEN_LNC033524)". Lineage: Eukaryota; Viridiplantae; Streptophyta; Magnoliopsida; Solanales; Solanaceae. The record is from RNAcentral.
UCCCUUCGGGACAUAUAACCAAAUCACCUUCUUCUAACAAUUUCUUGAUCAUAUUAGCAUCCGUUACGCGAUCACGGCUAAGACGAACCGUUUUAAUAGGUGAAAUGAUCUCGGAGAGCCGAGACAGUGAAUAUGUGACAGCAGGUAUGGGCCGGCCAAGGGCUGUUGAUAGGAAAAUUGGGUCGAGAAGAGUUCGAUGAGAGCAAAUGAAUAGGACACCGGUUUGGCCCGUAGAUUUUUGGGCCCGAGGAGGUGGGUUGCCUUUGACUUUGACCCGAACACCAAGAGCCCAAAAAGCGUAAUAGACUAGUGGCAUUGGCAGGUAAGGCUGAAAAUCUAAGUAAAAAUGGUUCCCUACACGUAGUGCCUUCGGGACAUAUAACCAAAUCACCGUCUUCUAACAAUUUCUUGAUCAUAUUGGCAUCUGUUACACGAUCACGGCUAAGACGAACUGUUUUAAUAGGUGAAAUGAUCUCAGAGAGCCGAGACAGUGAGUAUGUGACCGCAGGGAUGGGCCGGCCAAGGGCUGUUGAUAGGAAAAUUGGGUCGAGAAGAGUUCGAUGAGAGCAAAUGAAGAGUACACCGGUUUGGCCCGUGGAUUUUUGGGCCGGAGGAGGUGGGUUGCCUUUGAUUUUGACUCGAACACCAAGAGCCCAAAAAGCGUAAUAGACUAGUGGCAUUGGUAGGAGCGAACCAGCAGCUAUACGCAAGCAUGAUAAGAGGAAACCAAUUGGGAUCCAAAGAAUUAUCAUAAGUGCAAU